This 253-nucleotide ribosomal RNA is filed under the name uncultured bacterium. Its description in RNAcentral is "partial 16S ribosomal RNA". It matches the Rfam family "Bacterial small subunit ribosomal RNA", at positions 524 to 776 of the family's 1533-position model. The record is from RNAcentral.
UACGUAGGGCGCAAGCGUUAUCCGGAAUUAUUGGGCGUAAAGAGCUCGUAGGCGGUUUGUCGCGUCUGCCGUGAAAGCCCGGGGCUCAACUCCGGAUCUGCGGUGGGUACGGGCAGGCUAGAGUGAUGUAGGGGAGACUGGAAUUCCUGGUGUAGCGGUGAAAUGCGCAGAUAUCAGGAGGAACACCGAUGGCGAAGGCAGGUCUCUGGGCAUUAACUGACGCUGAGGAGCGAAAGCAUGGGGAGCGAACAGG